Molecule: long non-coding RNA, 1846 nt
Filed under: Brachypodium distachyon (stiff brome)
Lineage: Eukaryota; Viridiplantae; Streptophyta; Magnoliopsida; Poales; Poaceae
Description: long non-coding RNA (BDIS_LNC002978)
Source: RNAcentral
AGUUUUAAAAGAAUAACUCACACUUGAUGGAUACACUCGGAACAAUGUGAACUAAAUUAUUAAGCAAGGCUAAGCAAUUCUACUAUGUGCAAGAAUACUAAAUAAAACUAUUCCAGGUAUCAGGAGAAAGGCGACAAGUAGAUUAUGUCAUCAUAGUAGUGUCAAUCGACACAACUAGCUAUGGGAAUAAAAUAACAUGCAUGUUUAUAAAACAAUUAAAUAACUAGCUAAUGCCCAUUUGAAAACAUAGGUGAAAUAUGUUCAAAGAGAGGGGGGGGGGCCUCCGUUGAUGAAUCUUCUUCAACCUUUUGUCCUUGUUGCACUUCGUCACUCUCUAUUCAUUGUAAUGAUAACAAGAACAAACAAAAUAAAUACAAAAGCAAUAAAGCCAAGGAAAUAGAAAUAAGAGAUCAGCGAAUAGACAACGAGGGCCAAGAAUUGGUUUGGAAAGGCUAGGAAUAACUUUGAUAGGAUUGGGUGGCGGGACAGAUUCUAACAAAGAUAACUAUAUACCCGAAAAGAAGGAAUAUAGUUUGAUUGGUCAUACCCUUUAGUAUAAUAAUAAAUACUAAAGUAUAAAUCUAUGCUGCCACUAUUAACCAAAUAACUCAACCUAUAUAUGUAGACACUCUACGACAAAAUCAAUGCACCUAUCAUUCUAGUUUGCAAUCAUCAAUCAACUCCUAUCAUACUAGUUGAACAAGAAAUGUGUAUAAUAUACAAGCUAGCAUGCUGCAGCAGGAAUGAGACCAUUACAGAGAAGGUAAAGCUAAUAGUGAUCUCUACACAUGAUAAAAAUAUAAAAACAGUACUAGUUCUAAUUCAAGUUAAGUUUAAAUACAAAGCAUGAUUUCAGAGGUAAUUAAUUAAACAAUCACAGCAGAUAAAUUAUAAGCUAGUAAAGCAUGCCACAGAUGAUUCUAUACAAGUAAAGAAAGCAUAUGAUAUCUGACACUUAAUUAAUAAAUGCGUCUCAGCUAUAUAGGAACCACACAACUCAAAUAUAUAUCAUGCACCACAUGCUGAUGGAACACAUACGCAUCGAGAAAUGCAUGCAACAUACAACAAUCCAACUAGCACAAGCAUGGAAUUAAUAACAAGUAUUAGCAGAGUGCCCGUGCUUUGCUACGGAACAAAAAAAACAAUAGGAAAAAACUAUUAAAAAAGAUAGAUUAUCAUAAAAGCAAUGCCAAAUUCAGCUUAUGAAUUCAACAAAUUCAAAUUCUUUUUUUUUCUUAUCGGCGGGAGUAACUCGUAAAGUCUAACUAUCACAAUGUACUCAUUAACAUGUCAGCGUCGGUAAAGUCAAUUUCUUGAAAGCCCUUGUAACAUCGACUGCAUAAUGCUACACAUUUGACACAACCUGCUAUUAUACACAAGGUCUGAAACUCAUUUAUCAAUGCCGUGUGUGCACGCAUGUGCUGGUCUUAAUUACUUUACCAAGCCAUCCAAGUGGUUACUUACAUCCAUUAGAAAGAAUCCUUACUUUACAGGUUAUUUCCUCCGAUCCUAAAUUUGAACUAAAACAAUGACAAGAAUUUAGAAUCGGAGGAAGAAACAUAAGCUUUCUUUACCUCUAUCUCUAACACUUUUUCUCUGAACCUUAAAUUCUCAAAGUUUCACCUGCACUCUCUCCCUCACUGGACAAAAUUGAUCGACCCUUGCUUUCUUUGUUUGUUGGUCAGCCAAUGGUAACACAAAGCAUCUGAAGCAAUUAGACAGAAAAGUCUUUUAACAAAACAGUUAUUUGAAGCAACUGAUGGGGAUAUGUAAAUGACAUACGGAGUAAAAUUUAUCAUAGAUUGUAUUGAAAUAAGGUACUAUCGAAGGCUCAAGAUCAAGGUGG